UACGGGAGGCAGCAGUGGGGAAUAUUGCACAAUGGGCGAAAGCCUGAUGCAGCUAUGCCGCGUGUAUGAAGAAGGCCUUAGGGUUGUAAAGUACUUUCAUCGGGGAGGAAAAAACAAAACUAAUAAUUUUAUUUCUUGACGUUACCCGAAAAAGAAGCACCGGCUAACUCCGUGCCAGCAGCCGCGGUAAUACGGAGGGUGCUAGCGUUAAUCAGAAUUACUGGGCGUAAAGAGCACGUAGGUGGUUUUUUUAAAGUCAGAUGUGAAAUCCCUGGGCUUAACCUAGGAACUGCAUUUUGAAACUGAAAUACUAGAGUAUCGUAGAGGGAGGUAGAAUUCUAGGUGUAGCGGUGAAAUGCGUAGAUAUCUGGAGGAAUACCUGUGGCGAAAGCGGCCUCCUAAACGAAUACUGACACUGAGGUGCGAAAGCGUGGGGAGCAAACAGGGAUUAGAUAC
RNAcentral lists this ribosomal RNA (456 nucleotides) under uncultured bacterium. Its description in RNAcentral is "bacterial SSU rRNA". It matches the Rfam family "Bacterial small subunit ribosomal RNA", at positions 340 to 785 of the family's 1533-position model. The record is from RNAcentral.